GUGCUGUGAUGACUUCUUAGGACACCUUUGGAUCUUACAUGAAAAGAACCGAACUAAAAUCUGAGGCACC
RNAcentral lists this small nucleolar RNA (70 nucleotides) under Mastacembelus armatus (zig-zag eel). RNAcentral's name for it is "Small nucleolar RNA SNORD58 (ENSMAMG00000012515.2)". It matches the Rfam family "Small nucleolar RNA SNORD58". From Rfam's summary of the family: snoRNA U58 is found in introns 1, 3 and 6 of the ribosomal protein RPL17 gene in humans. U58 is a member of the C/D class of snoRNA which contain C (UGAUGA) and D (CUGA) box motifs. Lineage: Eukaryota; Metazoa; Chordata; Actinopteri; Synbranchiformes; Mastacembelidae. The record is from Rfam by way of RNAcentral.